Molecule: long non-coding RNA, 1040 nt
Organism: Pan troglodytes (chimpanzee)
Lineage: Eukaryota; Metazoa; Chordata; Mammalia; Primates; Hominidae
Exons: 3
Source: RefSeq, a predicted model, not a curated record
UCUUCGUCUCAAAUCCUGAUGGGUCCCCAGCUUCCAGAGUCCUUGUCCACUCCCACGACCAAAAAGUGUACACCUCAGCUGAGGGGUCGGCAACUCUGACCAUCAACACAGAUGCAAAUCUGGACAAGCUCCCCAUCAAGGUGAAAACUGAGGAAUCUCUUCAGCCAGAGGAGCAGGCUUCAGCCAAGAUGACAGCUUGGCCUUACUUAACUCAGGAUGGGUCAGGAAACUUCCUACACAUCAAAGUAAAGACAUUGGGCACAGAGGUUGGCAGCAGCAUCAAGCUGAGCCUCAACACAAGGCAUCAGGACCCUAAAACCAAGGACAAGAUUACUCACUUCACCAUCCUGGUGAGGGGCUAGGACCAGGGUCUGAGUCAAGGAAUUCUUUCCUUGGAAAAACCUUGGCUUGCUGAGUUGGAGAAACUAUGAAAAAAGAUGUGAAGGUGGCAACAAUCUUGAGUGGGCUCAAAUCUAGAGGCUGAAGAAAAGAGACUAUGAGCCUCCAUUGUGAGAUGGGACAGAUUCAGAGAAAGACUGGCCCUCCCUUCUCAUCCUUGACCUCCCUUGUCUCCAAGGUCCUGAGUAAGGGCCAGAUCGUGAGUGCCAAACAUCAGUCAAAAAGCCAGGGGAGUGUCUACACAUCAGCCAUUAUUGAUGUGACUUCAUCGAUGCUGCCCUCCUUCCGCAUUCUGGCCUUUUAUUUACUUCCCAGAGGAGCAAGCCAAGACCCUGAGUUGGUGGCUGAUUCCAUAUGGAUUGAUGUGAAUGACAGAUGCAUAGGGACGCUGAAAGUUGGCUUGAAGAAUGAUAGAUUCUUCCAGUCUUUGGAGCCCAACAGCCAAGUCGAACUGAAUGUGACAGGUGAUGCAGAAGCCACAGUGGGGCUGGUGGCUGUGGACAAGGCUGUCUAUGUCUUGAACAGCAAACACAAGCUCACUCAGAAGAAGGCAAGAGCAUGUGGGCUUUGGGCCAAGAUGUUGCCAGGAUAUUCUAGCUGGAGCCUCAGCUUCUUCAGCCAGAAAGAGGACAACAUCAAUG